Molecule: ribosomal RNA, 400 nt
Filed under: uncultured Pseudomonas sp.
Lineage: Bacteria; Pseudomonadati; Pseudomonadota; Gammaproteobacteria; Pseudomonadales; Pseudomonadaceae
Description: bacterial SSU rRNA
Rfam family: Bacterial small subunit ribosomal RNA
Source: RNAcentral
ACAUGCAGAGAACUUUACCAGAGAUGGAUUGGUGCCUUCGGGAACUCUGACACAGGUGCUGCAUGGCUGUCGUCAGCUCGUGUCGUGAGAUGUUGGGUUAAGUCCCGUAACGAGCGCAACCCUUGUCCUUAGUUACCAGCACGUUAUGGUGGGCACUCUAAGGAGACUGCCGGUGACAAACCGGAGGAAGGUGGGGAUGACGCCAAGUCAUCAUGGCCCUUACGGCCUGGGCUACACACGUGCUACAAUGGUCGGUACAAAGGGUUGCCAAGCCGCGAGGUGGAGCUAAUCCCAUAAAACCGAUCGUAGUCCGGAUCGCAGUCUGCAACUCGACUGCGUGAAGUCGGAAUCGCUAGUAAUCGUGAAUCAGAAUGUCACGGUGAAUACGUUCCCGGGCCUU